GCUCAGGACGAACGCCGGCGGCGACGUUCACACACGCAAGUUCGAACGAAGAAGCGGCGCUGCACCGUGGAUUAGCGGCGAAACGGGUCGAGUCAUACGUCGAGUCGACCUACUCUUUCGACUCUGGGAUAAGCCUGGGAAACUGGGUCUAAUACCGGAUACGACCAAUCUCUGCAUGGGGUGUUUGGUGGAAAGCGUUAUGGAGUCGGUUUUAGAUGGGCUCACGGCCUAUCAGCUUGUUGGUGAGGUAAUGGCUUACCAAGGCGACGACGGGUAGCCGGCCUGAGAGGGUGACCGGCCACACUGGGACUGAGACACGGCCCAGACUCCUACGGGAGGCAGCAGUGGGGAAUAUUGCACAAUGGGCGCAAGCCUGAUGCAGCGACGCCGCGUGAGGGAUGACGGCCUUCGGGUUGUAAACCUCUGUUAGCAUCGAAGAAGCGAAAGUGACGGUAGGUGCAGAGAAAGCGCCGGCUAACUACGUGCCAGCAGCCGCGGUAAUACGUAGGGCGCGAGCGUUGUCCGGAAUUAUUGGGCGUAAAGAGCUUGUAGGCGGUUGGUCGCGUCUGCUGUGAAAGGCCGGGGCUUAACUCCGGUUUUGCAGUGGGUACGGGCUAACUAGAGUGCAGUAGGGGAGACUGGAAUUCCUGGUGUAGCGGUGGAAUGCACAGAUAUCAGGAGGAACACCGAUGGCGAAGGCAGGCCUCUGGGCUGUAACUGACGCUGAGAAGCGAAAGCAUGGGGAGCGAACAGGAUUAGAUACCCUGGUAGUCCAUGCCGUAAACGUUGGGCACUAGGUGUGGGGGACAUUCCACGUUUUCCGCGCCGUAGCUAACGCAUUAAGUGCCCCGCCUGGGGAGUACGGCCGCAAGGCUAAAACUCAAAGGAAUUGACGGGGGCCCGCACAAGCGGCGGAGCAUGCGGAUUAAUUCGAUGCAACGCGAAGAACCUUACCAAGGCUUGACAUGCAUUAGAUCGCGUCAGAGAUGGCGUUUCCCUUCGGGGCUGGUGUACAGGUGGUGCAUGGUUGUCGUCAGCUCGUGUCGUGAGAUGUUGGGUUAAGUCCCGCAACGAGCGCAACCCUCGUUCUAUGUUGCCAGCGGUUCGGCCGGGGACUCAUAGGAGACUGCCGGGGUCAACUCGGAGGAAGGUGGGGAUGACGUCAAAUCAUCAUGCCCCUUAUGUCUUGGGCUUCACGCAUGCUACAAUGGCCGGUACAGAGGGUUGCGAUACUGUGAGGUGGAGCUAAUCCCUUAAAGCCGGUCUCAGUUCGGAUUGGGGUCUGCAACUCGACCCCAUGAAGUCGGAGUCGCUAGUAAUCGCAGAUCAGCAACGCUGCGGUGAAUACGUUCCCGGGCCCUUGUACACACCGCCCGUCA
Molecule: ribosomal RNA, 1379 nt
Filed under: uncultured bacterium
Lineage: Bacteria
Description: 16S ribosomal RNA
Rfam family: Bacterial small subunit ribosomal RNA
Source: RNAcentral